Long non-coding RNA from Cygnus olor (mute swan), 5721 nucleotides. RefSeq lists it as uncharacterized. The record is from RefSeq and is a predicted model, not a curated record. The transcript has 7 exons. NCBI's taxonomy places the organism in Eukaryota, Metazoa, Chordata, Aves, Anseriformes, Anatidae.
UGUCGGUGCACUUGUCUGACCAGAAAGCUUCUAGUUUUGUGUCAGGCAUCCUAAACAUGUUUUUGCCCUUCAUGCCUAGCUCCAAGAGGGAAACAAGGAAACUUAGAGCCAAAAUUACAAAGUUCUGCUUUUAAUAAAAAGACACCUGCCCAGAGAGUGUCAGGAAGUAUCCCACCCAUGGGAUCACCCUGCUUGUGCACCCAGCACAAACCACCCUUGUUUUACACUCGAAUAACCCUGCCUGUGCUGCACAGCAGGCAGGUGUAUGCGUGACAUACAUAUGUGUGACAUAUGCAGGACAAUGACAGGGGCCACGGCUGGGGGAGAGGCUCAGGAGUGUAGCCGUGAGCACGAGGCGCAUGCAGCGUGGACCUGGGGAAGGUGGGGGAGCCACCAGCCAGUUCAGGGUAAUUCAGCCUCGUGGGACUGCUGAUCACCACAACUUUAUCCCUUCCUCAGGCUGGUGUGUGCCAUGUGCAGGCAGGUUUAGUUCAGCCUCUUCCCUCCUGGUAUUUUCCCCUCUCACAGUGAGGAUGAAUAUGCUGCAGCUGGAUGGUGCAGCUGGGCAGCAGGACACCGGGGGCCCCACAAAGUCAUUCCUCUUCCUCCCCGGGUAACCACGGUGACCUCUGCUGUCACCAAGCGAGUCCAAGCACUUGUGCUCUGCCGCUGGGGAGAGAUUGUAUUCCAGCUCACCCUGGAGGUCCUCCAGUGCGCCGGGCACUGUACCUUGGAGAAAUUCUCAUUUGGGAUAAGGUGAAGCUGUGCCAGUGACAACCACAAGAAGAGCUCUCUGCUCAGAUGGUUUCAGAGGCUGUCUACAUCCAGAGAAAGAUCUUUGAAUAUUAAUGCUGUCUCUGGCAUCCAUGAGUCAAAGCACUCUGUGCUGGGUUGAUGAGGGUUGUAGGACAUGAGCGACAUCCUCAUCUCCUGCACAGGCAGCGAGCAAAGUCCCCGGGCUGCAGUGGCACCUCAUGCUGCGGUACAGGGCAGCACUCACUUGGCAGGACCCUGGCCUGGGAAUCGGGAGGCCGAGAUUUAUCGAGCAGCUCUGGCACUGGCUUGCCUUUUGUCCAUGCUCUGCUGGUGACGUCAAAAGCACGGUGACUGUUCUUUAGAGAAGCACUGAAGUUCAGGACGGUUGAGCUCAUUGUACCAUCCAAGCCCUUCAACUUCUCCCUCUGCUAUACCAAAUGGCAAGCAGGAGCAGGAGACACAGCCCCACCAUCAUGUUAUGGACCCUAAUCCUCAAAAUUAGUCCCAAGUUACUGUAGGUACCAUUUAAAACUACAACAUUCAAACAAUAGCUUCUGAAAUAUUCACCUCCUCCUCCUCCUCUUUUUGUCCUUAUUAAAAGCUAUUGAAUAUUUCUAAUGUGACAGGAAACAUCCUCUGUUGUUUCGCCACUAUAUGUGACUGAAAUGAAGCUGCUUGCCUGCACAGAGGUACCACCUGUGAAUGCUUUGCUAUUCUGGGCCCUGUACAGGUUGGAGCCUAACUUAUUUUAACUAUUGCAGUCUCGGCUACCUUGUAAAGUUCUUCCAGGCCAUUAAAGCUUGAUGGGGUUUUACCCUCUCAGCUAACAGAGACCCAGAAAAAUACAUGGAUUCUGUUAAAAUACAAAAUGCAAUCGGUUUAGUCAAUUAGGAGAUGAACUUCAUCCUCUCUCCUGUGUUCGCUGGUCAGAUGCUUUGAGAUCCUUGCUGCCCACCAGGACAUAGUCUCCUUCUCUGCCACCCUUUUAGACAGAGGUCAUGGAAUAACAGACAUGGUAAGGACCUGGGGGGCAGCUCGGGUGUAGUAAGUCUGCAUUUGAUCAGCACUGGAAAAUCACCCAGUCGUUACUCCUGCCUUCCAUGCACGAUCAUUUUCUCCCUUGCGGUUAUAAAUACAUUCAAUCAAAAUGAGCGUGUUUUACUUCUCUUUGUAAACAAUGCAAAUGCAAUGCAAACAUUUCACUGUCUGCUGCUCAGUAUUUCUGCAUAAUCUGGCAAUCCUGCACAGAGCAGAUAAAAUGGUAGGGAAGGAAAGUUCUUAGCUCAUUUCUCUUUUCUGGCAAAGGCAUUAUGUCUAAUGGCAGGACACUCAAUCUGUCUGCCCGUGAUACGCAAACAUUUCAUGUCUAAGUCUUGCUGUAGUGUCACCUCUGUUGGGGUCCUGGGAGGUGUUGCAGUCCCUGGUUCCUGCCACAACUCCCUGUUCCUGGUUGGAAGCCAUCACCGCCCCAUCAAACACCAGUUUUAGCAAAUCAGCAAAUUCAGACAGGAAAGUCUUGAACAAUUACUUCUUUCCUGCUGCCCAGCUCUCAGCUCGCUGCCUACGUGCCAUGAUGCACAGCAUGGCAGUGUUUUGGCAGGGGGCUUUCCUUGUGGGCCAGUUGCCUGUAUGUCUGUGUGUGCACUCAUUGCUCAGGCCCCCCAUUCAGCUCCAUAAAUCACCCUGCUGCUGGCCGUAGUGUGGCACAACCUACAAGGUGCAAACACACCUUCUUGCAAACCUGCAGCUGCAGCGCAUCCUGACAGGGAGGCUGGGGGUGUCUGCCAGCUCCGGGUUUCCCUGUAGCAUCAGGGCAGCAGCUUUAUACAUGCCGUGUUACAGCCAGCAGGCAGGUGGGGUGGCUUUCAUAGCGCCAUGGAAUAGAAUCAUAGCGGGCUUGUCUCUACUCAGCGUUAAACCACAUUAAGCACGUAGUCCUUACGUUCAUUUUUCCUUGGUUUGACAGGACUCCAGGGUGCCACAACUCAUGUUUGAAACUUAAAGCAAUGAUGUGGCAUUCAGUGCAGCUAACGAUGGGCAGCCUGACCCUGCCAACUGCUAUGUUAAAAAGUAAUGGAAGAAGAAACCCAAACACCUAUGGAAGCUGUUCCACGCAUAGCAGAGGAGGUACAAAGGGCAUAAAAGUAAUACGCCUCGUCUUGCUGCCUCCAUCUCAGCCUGGCCAUCUGCAGUCCUGGCACCUCUGCAGCAACUCUGGUGGCCUUCAGCAGUGUGCACAACAAGAGAGGCACUCAGCUUAGCAGGGCUCUUUUCUGCAAGGAAAUGAGGCUUUUGCAGUUGUGCUGGAUGUUCAUCAGCUGUUCUCCCUGGAGAGCUGUUGUUUCUCUGGUUGCUGGGACAAGUUGAGGCUGUCCCCAUGCCAGUCUGGGCAUUAAAUAGCGACCCCUGGCCUGGUGGCUGCGCUGGGAGCUGGAGGUGGGUCAGGUUUGGGAACAGCAGUCCCCAGGUGAGCACCAGAGGUCAGUAAGGAGCAAAGGCCAGAGCUGUUCGGUUUGAUGUUUUUGGCUCGCUUUUGAAAAACCUUCAAAAUCAGUUUUGCCCAAGGAAGGAGCAGGUCGAGAACAACAGAUCCUGCCUUGGGGCUGGAGGGAGGGGGCAGGGACACUUUCACAGUGCCCCUGCAGUGUCCCCAGGAGCCUGCCUGGGACAUGGGGUCAGGGAGCUAAAACAACCCCACACCUGCAGCCCCUCCAUAUCACCAAAUCUUCAAGAGGCUCAAUCAAAUGUCUUGACUGAGUUAUUCCAAAAUGCUCCCGGCAUUCCAGCUGGCAAACAUUUGGUGAUGCUGUUGCAAAAAUGACUCAGGAGGACAAGUUUCCAGCUCAGCCUUCCUGGGCUGAGAGAUGUGGGCAAUACGGAACGCUCCAGCCACAACCUUUCAGCGAAGCUGUACACCAACCUGACUGCGGCUGGGGCUGCCAUGGGGUUAAGGCGCUGCAGCAGGUCCCCAUGCAGGUGAGCUGGCACACAGGGCAGCAGGACUGAAACCAUUCACAGGCUUUGUGCGCAUCCCAUGAUGGUCACAGCGCAGAGCCCUGUGACAUAACAAGGUGGUGUUGGUGUUCCGGACACCCAGCGGCAGGGAAGAAGGGGGUUGCUGCUGGAGCUGGCCUUGGUGUCAUGGGGGCAGUCCCAGGCUACCCGCAUUGGAGUUUCAGUCAUGCUGUGCUCCCAGGCUGCCAUGGCUUUGGGGUCUGCUCAGCCUUGCUGACUCUUGGGUGGCACCCAGCUGUCCUCCAGAUGCUCCCUGCCUGCAGCUGGGGAGGCCGCCCCACAGCUUGCUGGCCUUCACCUGGCUCUGGGCCAUCCCGUGUGCGGGUGCCUUUCCAUUUUGCCAGGGGGAGGGCCAAGCUCCCAGCAGCCCCCCAGGCAGCGCCGCCUGCAGAAAGGCAGCUAACUCUGAAUGCAUCACUCUGCACGAAAUGAGCGUCUUCCCCAACAUGCUGAUGCUUCUCUUCUUCUGAAGGUACUUCAUAAGGCAGAAGUAGUUAGUGUGUAACACCUCUGUGCACUAUAAACACAUGGAGAAUUGCCUAAAAACCCUCCCCAUCCCUGCUUUGCCUAUCUCCCGGCAGGCAGCUGUGCUGGUUUGGGAGGUGCUGUGAGGGGUGCCCACCUCGCAGGAGCUCUGUGCUCUUCCUGCUUCGCCUCCCAGACCGGGCCCAGCCUUGGAUUUUGAGGGGGCAGCAGUGUUGUCCUCCAGGCUUGGGAAUUUGAGCCUCACCAGGACGAAUACCUAGUUUGAGACCGCAAGGUUAAGAAAUGUAUUUUGGAGAGGUUGUUUUGGAUAGUCUGUUUUUAGAAACAGACUUCUUUUUCCCCUCAGUUUCCCCUCCAUACACUAGGGCUGCUACCUCUUUAGAAAUUCUAACUUAGGAUGUUGGGGAAAUUUCAAAAACUAGGCCAAAAAAAAAAAAGGUUAAAACCACUAUGAAUAAUGUACUGAAUGUGCACCAAUUUACAACACGAAAUGCUAUUAAAUAACGGUGAUUUUUCUUUGAUCUGCAUUUUCUCCUCAACAUACCCCACCAUGAAGACACAUACCCAGCAAAUACCUUCAGUCCCCAUCUCCAAAGGAACACUGGUUGUAGUGCAUUCAAAGUUAGCUACCCCUUACACAGCUGCUCAGUUAAUAAUCGACCCAUUUAACAACAGUACCAGUUUAUGCUACAUAUGUCAUAGUACCUUACCUCAAAAGAACGGCAUACAUAUCUACACUUAUAAAAUACCAUUCACAGUUUCUUACUGUGGUUAUCCAAAAAGGGUUAGUCUUCAGAGUGCUAUGGACAAUACAGUGCUUUUAUCCCUAAGAGGGCUCAAAGCCUGGGCAGGGCGUGGGGACAGUGGCUCUGCGGUGACAGCCAAAGCUGGAUGUAUGCACGUGCCCUGGUCACAGCAACCACCCCGAGCCGUCAGCAAGAGGGUGCUGUGUAAGGUGCACCUCUGCCCUGGUGGCUUCAUGCACGAUGCGCUUGGAGCACAACUUCAUGGCUUUUUUUUUUUUCACUGGGGAGGGGAAAGAACUGGGAUGUAACUACUCGCAUGGCAUAAUACCUUACAAGCCUCUCUUUAACCCCCCCCCCCCCCACCAAGGUCCAAAGGGCUCUCUUAAAAUAAAGGAGAAAAAAACCAUAGCACUGACUGCUCUCACUUCCUCAUUGGGAAAGCAACCUUAGCUGUCCCUCUCACACCUCCUCCUUUCUCAGCACAGCCCCUAACUGGAGGAUGCCUUGGGUGGGACCGUUUCUUCAGCCUGGCACUGGUCACAAGAGGCACAUGGCUGCAGUUCAGGUAAGUAAGUCCCACCGUGUCCCACCACCGCCAGGUGGGCUUUAACACCCGCCAGCUUCCCCAGAAGGUGCUCCGCAUUGCCCAGCUCUACACAGUGAUCACAGCUGAUGCCACAGGGCAAUGAAGACAGCUGUAGCUUCAGUCCUUUCCCCA